This 165-nucleotide ribosomal RNA is filed under the name uncultured bacterium. RNAcentral's name for it is "partial 16S ribosomal RNA". It matches the Rfam family "Bacterial small subunit ribosomal RNA", at positions 509 to 674 of the family's 1533-position model. The record is from RNAcentral.
CAGCAGCCGCGGUAAACGGAGGAAGCAAGCGUUAUCCGGAUUUAUUGGGCGUAAGGGGCGUGGAGGCGGCUUGGUAAGGUGGAUGUGAAAUCUCUCGGCUUAACUGGGAGAAGUCGUUCAAUACUAUCAGGCUAGAGAAUGGGAGAGGGAAGUGGAAUUCCCGGG